Molecule: ribosomal RNA, 115 nt
Filed under: Tupaia belangeri chinensis (Chinese tree shrew)
Lineage: Eukaryota; Metazoa; Chordata; Mammalia; Scandentia; Tupaiidae
Source: RNAcentral
AUAUCUUUUCAUACCACCCUGAACACACCCGAUCUCAUCUGAUCUCAGAAGCUAAGCAGGGUCGGGCCUGGUUAGUACUUGGAUGGGAGACAAUGUAGUUUGAAUGGAGAAUUUA